Molecule: ribosomal RNA, 271 nt
Filed under: Alexandrium margalefii
Lineage: Eukaryota; Dinophyceae; Gonyaulacales; Pyrocystaceae
Description: partial Bacterial small subunit ribosomal RNA
Rfam family: Bacterial small subunit ribosomal RNA
Source: RNAcentral
AUCCCCCACACUGGUACUUAGACACGGACCAGACUCCUACGGGAGGCAGCAGUGAGGAAUAUUGGUCAAUGGAGGCAACUCUGAACCAGCCAUGCCGCGUGCAGGAAGACUGCCCUAUGGGUUGUAAACUGCUUUUAUACGGGAAGAAACACCCCCUCGUGAGGGGGCUUGACGGUACCGUAAGAAUAAGGACCGGCUAACUCCGUGCCAGCAGCCGCGGUAAUACGGAGGGUCCGAGCGUUAUCCGGAAUCAUUGGGUUUAAAGGGUCCG